RNAcentral lists this transfer RNA (66 nucleotides) under Decimiana sp. RNAcentral describes it as "tRNA-Trp". The record is from RNAcentral. Lineage: Eukaryota; Metazoa; Arthropoda; Insecta; Mantodea; Acanthopidae.
AAGACUUUAAGUUAAAAAAAACUAAUAUCCUUCAAAGCUAUAAAUAAAGAGACUCUUUAAGUCUUA